UCCCACUUUGUUUUUGAAACAGAGGGAAAAGGCAAAUCAAAACCAUGUAAUAGAUUUUCUAAUCACUUUAUUUAGGGAUAUACAAACAGUUGACAGACAUAAGUGACUUUUGACUAGGCUGAGGCUUUAAGACCAGUUUGUAAGCAGAUCUCUUAUGUGUCUUUGCAGAUCCUGGUUAUAGAGGCUAAUGCAUGAAUCUUGUAAGCUCCAGACAAAUCUUGCUUCACACUAGUGCUAAAAGGAUGGGAAGUCUUCUUCAAAGGAUCAGUUCAAAAGAGCAAGAGUUUUGAUGUAGCAAGUAAGCGAAUAGAAAGGCAUUUCCACAGUCCAUCCAGUUUGAAAGAAACACUUUCCAGAUUCAGUGGAACACAUUCUGGCAGGAAUGAAUUUCUGCACCUGCUACAAACUGGGACUUGGCUCUAGAUUUCAACAACUGUUUAGUUAUGAGCAAGGGACUGUAGAGGUGGAGUACUUUUCUACUUCAAAUUUAUUUGUAAUAGUUUAUUUAUGAAAUAAUACCCGUGGUAUAUUACAGUAACUAUUGGUUACUAUUCUCAGGUCAAUUGCUGUAUAGGUUACAUUUUUAGUCCAAUGCAUUUUGUUAUGUUUAAAUUGAUAAAACUUGUAAUUAUUGUUUAAUUACUUGUAAUUAUUGUUUGAUUACCUGUGCUGGAUGAAGCUGAAUUCUGAACCUUAUUCUUGCAGUGCUUUAUUCUCCAAUAAAUACUAAAGAGCCAGGUUCAUAUAUGAUAUGAGCAAAAGGAAAACCUAAUGUGCUUAAUCGCUCAGUAGUGACUGAGAAAACAGUCCAUGAUGGCAGUGGAUCAGAAGACAAAUCCUUAUACCCUGAACCCUCCAGCAAAAUGAAUGGAGACUUCCUUUGUUGUUGCAAAUGCUGGUGAGACCAGUAGAUAUGCAUGGUUUUGAAGCAAAAGAAUAGCACCCUUAUUGCUAUCUUUCCAAAAACCUGGCUAUCGCCCCUACAUUUUCACAUGGUCUUUUAGUAUUAAAAACGGCAUUGCCCUGACACUCAAUGGCUCUUACUUAGUAUGAGCCACACUCUUGGGACCUGCAAAGUGAAUACAUAUUCCAUGUAAAAUUGCCUAGCCUCCCUACCUCAUGCUCUGCUGUCUUUUAUCUCUUUGAAGCUGGUCUGUUCUGAUUUUAUAUUCAUUGCCCAGGACUUUGCCUAUCACUGCCUCCAAGUCUGCAUUCUAAACAUAUCAGUGACUUCAUCUUUCCUCACAUCCACUUUUCCUCAUUCACAGUCUCUUUUGCAAUCUACAUCUUUUAAUAGCUGAUCCCAUUUAUCCCAUUGCAACUCUCUCUGGGACUGAUUCUGUGCAGUGGCUUUUUAUUGUUCUCUUUCCUCAGAACCAUAGAAAUAUGAGAUGGAAAAGGCUGAUGAGGUCAUCUUGUCCAUUCCCCUUGCCAAUGUUGAAUUGUUUCCUACAGUCUAAUUUUAAAAUUACUCAUUCAGCUGGGCUUCCACCUCUUCUCUUAGAAGAUUAUUCCACAGUAUUAGGAUGUAUAUCACACCAUUAGGAAGUUUUUCCUGAUACUUAUCUUGAACUUUCCUUCCUGAGUUUUUGUUCCAUCAUUCAUAGCUACACCCCAUUUGAUCACUCCAAACAAUACACUUCACUCUUGUAGAAUAGACAUCCUUCAAAAUCCACCUAUUACUCCAUAAAAAAAAAAAAAAAAAAAAAAAAAAAAAUCAGUUAGGUAUCUUAGUUAUCUCCCCCUCCACACACAAUACUGUAGCAUGAUAUAUCUGAUUAUCUCUUUUCCCUUUUGCUGCACAAGGAAGGGACAGUCCCUCUCCAUUCCAGCUCAGUGCCAUGUACAGAUGAGAACUCAAGUAAUUUCUUCCCUGUCUGGUUAUAGUCACUGUUUCUCUUAUACUCUGGAGACAGGGAAGUUUCUCAUAUUUAUGUGGGUGCAAGGAAGUCUUUGUGGCCCAUAAGUCUCUUGCUGCAUGUAGUCCUGCUUUUGGAAGAUAUAUUUAUCUGUGUAGCUCAAGCACAGCACAGGCUCCAGAAGUUGUUAUAGUUGGAGUGGGAUAAAGUCUUUCUGUUCUAAUCCUCUUUCAUAAAAAUUCAUGCUGCCAUCAAAAUUCUGACAAUGUCAAUUAUUUCUACUUAUACCUUCCACUCAUCCAGACAAAAUGUUGAUGUCCUCUACCAAAAAUGUACUUUUCAGAAAAGGCUGAAUAGAGACAUACAUGCUGAUUUGAAUCAGAAACCCUUAGAAUCAUUUUGGAGAUCUCCUCUAAACAUGUCUUUUUUGAUGUACUUGAGCCUCUUUCACUCUUUUCAUACCCAAUUUUCAAGUGCUUUGAACCAGCACAUUUUAGAUGUGAUUUUCCUGAAGGAUUUUGUACCUCUUUGGAUAUUUAAAUGAGUGGCCACAGUAAAGUGAUCUCAGCCACUUGGGUUGAAGUUAUAUAAAAGUACAGUCCAUUAUUCAGAGACCUAGAAAAUGUUUUAAAGUUCUGGCUUCUGCAGUGGAAAAGGAGAACUUGGAAAUUUGGCCAUGAGCACCUUUGCCAAUUUGUUCCCCCAUUGUGUAUGCUGAGUCCUUCUGUUCAUGAACAGAUUGUGCAUGACAACCUGAGUUCACCUGCAUGUCUGCAUGUCAGCUUUUGUCAGCCUGGUACAGACUGAACCUAGCAUGGCCUUGGAGAGGUCAAUGCACAUCGUGCCUACAGCUGUAUAAAAAGGUGUCAGAAGAACUGAGGGCACAUGUUGGCAAAAACAAUCACCUGAUGUUCACUAGAAUUUGAGAACCUCUUGGGUUCUUCUAAGCAAAUAUUUUUGUGACAAGCUUUUCUUAACCAAUUCCAAAUCUGACAAUUAUCUUGGUAGGGUUGGCUCCACAGAGUCCUGUGGAGCAUCAGUGAUCUGGUCAGAAUAGAAAUAGAUGGGCCAUGAAUAGUUUCUGUAGGAGGGAAAUGAGAGGGAUGAUUUAGAUGAGCUCACCACUUAAGAAGCAUAUGGGCAGGCUGGAAAGUACAUAUGCAGCAUGGGCAUGGCUCACUGAGACACAAUUACAGCAGGAUAUAAGAUGUGGCAUGUGGAAGCAUAGUUAUACCAGAACUAAGAGGUAGUGGGGUUUCUCACCCUCCACAAAACGCUCAGCAGUUUGAAGUCACCACUCACUGCUCUGUUUGAGAUUCAUACAUGUGGCCUUAUGUGUAGUGCUCUGGCUCUGUUUUCUCAAUCACUUACUCUGCAGCUUGUGGAAGGUUGUUUUUGGCAGCUCUUCUCUUGCCCCUUUCCCUGCACUCUCCCUCUGGCUGUAUCUGUAAUUGUUCUUGCUCUCUCAGAGCACCUGGGGAGAGUGUGGAGGAAUCUGAUCUCUGAGCUGUGUACCCAGGUUGCUUGCUAUUCCUCUCUUUUCAAGUGCAAUUAUCCAAGCUCUGUGGUUUUUCUCUGCUUUGCUCUCUGUUAGUCAAGUAGCAGUGUGUUUAUUCUGUGCAAAGGAAGAGCAAGGCGCCCCUUCAGGGCUCUGAUUCCAGCCAUACAGAAAUGGCUGACAUGAUGUAGUCAUGUAGUCACUCAUUCACUCCUUACAAGCUUAGCUGCAUAAGUUGAUGAUCUUAUAGCAACACAGUAAGCUGCUAUACUGGGAGACCUUGCCUUUUAAAUAGUUGUUGCACUAUAUGUUAUUCAUUGUUAUCUGUCCAUUUUUUUUUUAAAUAUUAUUAUUAAUUAUUAGAGAACAAUGAAACAUUCUCCAUUGGUGUAGGGGGACCAUCGAGAAUACUAUUUCUGGAAAAAUGAUUUAUGUAUUAAAUCCAAGUGCCUUUAGCUAAUCCAUGAGAUGUAGAAAUUUUAAUGCAACGAUAAGCUCUUUGUAAGAUUGAGAAAAUCUUGCCUUUCCCUGAAGAAAAAUAAAUAAUAUCCUAGCAACAUUCACAACAAAAUUUC
Anas platyrhynchos (mallard) is the source of this 3932-nucleotide non-coding RNA. The record is from RefSeq and is a predicted model, not a curated record. NCBI's taxonomy places the organism in Eukaryota, Metazoa, Chordata, Aves, Anseriformes, Anatidae.